AGUGGGAGCACAGGUUUACCUGUGUGACUGCGUACCUUUUGUAUAAUGGGUCAGCGACUUAUAUUCUGUAGCAAGGUUAACCGUAUAGGGGAGCCGUAGGGAAACCGAGUCUUAACCGGGCGUUAAGUUGCAGGGUAUAGACCCGAAACCCGGUGAUCUAGCCAUGGGCAGGUUGAAGGUUGGGUAACACUAACUGGAGGACCGAACCGACUAAUGUUGAAAAAUUAGCGGAUGACCUGUGGCUGGGGGUGAAAGGCCAAUCAAACCGGGAGAUAGCUGGUUCUCCCCGAAAGCUAUUUAGGUAGCGCCUCGUGAAUUCAUCUCCGGGGGUAGAGCACUGUUUCGGCUAGGGGGCCAUCCCGGCUUACCAACCCGAUGCAAACUGCGAAUACCGGAGAAUGUUAUCACGGGAGACACACGGCGGGUGCUAACGUCCGUCGUGAAGAGGGAAACAACCCAGACCGCCAGCUAAGGUCCCAAAGUCAUGGUUAAGUGGGAAACGAUGUGGGAAGGCCCAGACAGCCAGGAUGUUGGCUUAGAAGCAGCCAUCAUUUAAAGAAAGCGUAAUAGCUCACUGGUCGAGUCGGCCUGCGCGGAAGAUGUAACGGGGCUAAACCAUGCACCGAAGCUGCGGCAGCGAACGUAUCACUUAAAGCGAUUCAGCGGGUUACGAUUGACGGAGCGAAGCGACGUCAAAGCGUAUACAAAGUCGAGUCGGUUUAAGGAUACGUUCGUUGGGUAGGGGAGCGUUCUGUAAGCCUGUGAAGGUGGCCUGUGAGGGUUGCUGGAGGUAUCAGAAGUGCGAAUGCUGACAUAAGUAACGAUAAAGCGGGUGAAAAGCCCGCUCGCCGGAAGACCAAGGGUUCCUGUCCAACGUUAAUCGGGGCAGGGUGAGUCGACCCCUAAGGCGAGGCCGAAAGGCGUAGUCGAUGGGAAACGGGUUAAUAUUCCCGUACUUGGUGUUACUGCGAAGGGGGGACGGAGAAGGCUAUGUUGGCCGGGCGACGGUUGUCCCGGUUUAAGCGUGUAGGUGUGUGUUCCAGGUAAAUCCGGUUCACUUUAACACUGAGGCGUGACGACGAGGCACUACGGUGCUGAAGCAACAAAUGCCCUGCUUCCAGGAAAAGCCUCUAAGCAUCAGGUAACAUCAAAUCGUACCCCAAACCGACACAGGUGGUCAGGUAGAGAAUACCAAGGCGCUUGAGAGAACUCGGGUGAAGGAACUAGGCAAAAUGGUGCCGUAACUUCGGGAGAAGGCACGCUGACACGUAGGUGAAGUGAUUUACUCAUGGAGCUGAAGUCAGUCGAAGAUACCAGCUGGCUGCAACUGUUUAUUAAAAACACAGCACUGUGCAAACACGAAAGUGGACGUAUACGGUGUGACGCCUGCCCGGUGCCGGAAGGUUAAUUGAUGGGGUCAGCGCAAGCGAAGCUCCUGAUCGAAGCCCCGGUAAACGGCGGCCGUAACUAUAACGGUCCUAAGGUAGCGAAAUUCCUUGUCGGGUAAGUUCCGACCUGCACGAAUGGCGUAAUGAUGGCCAGGCUGUCUCCACCCGAGACUCAGUGAAAUUGAACUCGCUGUGAAGAUGCAGUGUACCCGCGGCAAGACGGAAAGACCCCGUGAACCUUUACUAUAGCUUGACACUGAACAUUGAGCCUUGAUGUGUAG
RNAcentral lists this ribosomal RNA (1669 nucleotides) under Salmonella enterica subsp. enterica serovar Newport. RNAcentral describes it as "partial 23S ribosomal RNA". It matches the Rfam family "Bacterial large subunit ribosomal RNA", at positions 572 to 2141 of the family's 2925-position model. Lineage: Bacteria; Pseudomonadati; Pseudomonadota; Gammaproteobacteria; Enterobacterales; Enterobacteriaceae. The record is from RNAcentral.